AGUGGGGAAUAUUGGACAAUGGGCGAAAGCCUGAUCCAGCCAUGCCGCGUGUGUGAAGAAGGUCUUCGGAUUGUAAAGCACUUUAAGUUGGGAGGAAGGGCAGUAAGUUAAUACCUUGCUGUUUUGACGUUACCGACAGAAUAAGCACCGGCUAACUUCGUGCCAGCAGCCGCGGUAAUACGAAGGGUGCAAGCGUUAAUCGGAAUUACUGGGCGUAAAGCGCGCGUAGGUGGUUUGUUAAGUUGGAUGUGAAAGCCCCGGGCUCAACCUGGGAACUGCAUCCAAAACUGGCAAGCUAGAGUAUGGCAGAGGGUGGUGGAAUUUCCUGUGUAGCGGUGAAAUGCGUAGAUAUAGGAAGGAACACCAGUGGCGAAGGCGACCACCUGGGCUAAUACUGACACUGAGGUGCGAAAGCGUGGGGAGCAAA
This 427-nucleotide ribosomal RNA is filed under the name uncultured Pseudomonas sp. Its description in RNAcentral is "bacterial SSU rRNA". It matches the Rfam family "Bacterial small subunit ribosomal RNA", at positions 353 to 772 of the family's 1533-position model. Lineage: Bacteria; Pseudomonadati; Pseudomonadota; Gammaproteobacteria; Pseudomonadales; Pseudomonadaceae. The record is from RNAcentral.